This 301-nucleotide ribosomal RNA is filed under the name uncultured bacterium. RNAcentral's name for it is "partial 16S ribosomal RNA". It matches the Rfam family "Bacterial small subunit ribosomal RNA", at positions 509 to 809 of the family's 1533-position model. The record is from RNAcentral.
CAGUCGCCGCGGUACUACGUAGGGUGCAAGCGUUAAUCGGAAUUACUGGGCGUAAAGCGUGCGCAGGCGGCUAUGCAAGACAGAUGUGAAAUCCCCGGGCUCAACCUGGGCACUGCAUUUGUGACUGCAUGGCUAGAGUACGGUAGAGGGGGAUGGAACUCCGCGUGUAGCAGUGAAAUGCGUAGAUAUGCGGAGGAACACCGAUGGCGAAGGCAAUCCCCUGGACCUGUACUGACGCUCAUGCACGAAAGCGUGGGGAGCGAACAGGAUUAGAUACCCGAGUAGUCCCUGUCUCUUAUAA